This 506-nucleotide ribosomal RNA is filed under the name uncultured bacterium. Its description in RNAcentral is "partial 16S ribosomal RNA". It matches the Rfam family "Bacterial small subunit ribosomal RNA", at positions 29 to 523 of the family's 1533-position model. The record is from RNAcentral.
AGUGAACGCUGGCGGUAGGCCUAACACAUGCAAGUCGAGCGGCAGCACAGGAGAGCUUGCUCUCUGGGUGGCGAGUGGCGGACGGGUGAGGAAUACAUCGGAAUCUACUCUGUCGUGGGGGAUAACGUAGGGAAACUUACGCUAAUACCGCAUACGACCUACGGGUGAAAGCAGGGGACCUUCGGGCCUUGCGCGAUUGAAUGAGCCGAUAUCGGAUUAGCUAGUUGGCGGGGUAAAGGCCCACCAAGGCGACGAUCCGUAGCUGGUCUGAGAGGAUGAUCAGCCACACUGGAACUGAGACACGGUCCAGACUCCUACGGGAGGCAGCAGUGGGGAAUAUUGGACAAUGGGCGUAAGCCUGAUCCAGCCAUACCGCGUGGGUGAAGAAGGCCUUCGGGUUGUAAAGCCCUUUUGUUGGGAAAGAAAUCCAGCUGGCUAAUACCCGGUUGGGAUGACGGUACCCAAAGAAUAAGCACCGGCUAACUUCGUGCCAGCCGCCGCAGUAA